GAUGAACGCUGGCGGCGUGCCUAAUACAUGCAAGUAGAACGCUGAAGCUUGGUGCUUGCACCGAGCGGAUGAGUUGCGAACGGGUGAGUAACGCGUAGGUAACCUGCCUCUUAGCGGGGGAUAACUAUUGGAAACGAUAGCUAAUACCGCAUAAAAGUCGAUAUCGCAUGAUAUUGAUUUGAAAGGUGCAAAUGCAUCACUAAGAGAUGGACCUGCGUUGUAUUAGCUAGUUGGUGAGGUAACGGCUCACCAAGGCGACGAUACAUAGCCGACCUGAGAGGGUGAUCGGCCACACUGGGACUGAGACACGGCCCAGACUCCUACGGGAGGCAGCAGUAGGGAAUCUUCGGCAAUGGGGGCAACCCUGACCGAGCAACGCCGCAUGAGUGAAGAAGGUUUUCGGAUCGUAAAGCUCUGUUGUAAGAGAAGAACGAGUGUGAGAGUGGAAAGUUCACACUGUGACGGUAACUUACCAGAAAGGGACGGCUAACUACGUG
This 497-nucleotide ribosomal RNA is filed under the name uncultured bacterium. RNAcentral's name for it is "partial 16S ribosomal RNA". It matches the Rfam family "Bacterial small subunit ribosomal RNA", at positions 28 to 507 of the family's 1533-position model. The record is from RNAcentral.